RNAcentral lists this ribosomal RNA (253 nucleotides) under uncultured bacterium. RNAcentral describes it as "partial 16S ribosomal RNA". It matches the Rfam family "Bacterial small subunit ribosomal RNA", at positions 524 to 776 of the family's 1533-position model. The record is from RNAcentral.
UACGUAGGGUCCGAGCGUUGUCCGGAAUUACUGGGCGUAAAGAGCUCGUAGGUGGUUUGUCGCGUUGUUCGUGAAAACUCACAGCUUAACUGUGGGCGUGCGGGCGAUACGGGCAGACUAGAGUACUGCAGGGGAGACUGGAAUUCCUGGUGUAGCGGUGGAAUGCGCAGAUAUCAGGAGGAACACCGGUGGCGAAGGCAAUGUUCUGGCUCGUUUCUGACGCUCAGGUGCGAAAGCCAGGGGAGCGAACAGG